AGAGGUGUAGUGGUGCUAUGAAUAGUGAGAUAACCAGAAGGUGUGGCGAAAGGUAGGUGGGAAUCCUGUCCGCCGAAAGACUAAGGUUGCCUGGGGCAGGCUCGUACUCCCAGGGUAGGGCGGGACCUAAGGUAAGGCCGAGAGGGGUAGCAGAUGGAAAAAAGGUAGAGAUUGAUGUAAGGAAAUUGGUGGAUAAGAGAAAAGGAGGGAAGGAGGAGGAUAAUGAAGCAUGUUGCUGGAAAUACAUGUGCAAGCAGUAAGAAAAAAGAUGAGUCAAAUGCUUGUCUUUAGAUUUCAAGCUGUGACGCGGAGUGAAAUCAAAGUAGCGACAGUCAUGAUGUAACACUGCCAAGAGAAGCUACACGCCAGAAACACUUUAACCGUAACGACGACCGACACAGAUAGCACAGUGGAGACCAACCAUGUGAUCGAGAGA
RNAcentral lists this ribosomal RNA (436 nucleotides) under Lactobacillus taiwanensis. Its description in RNAcentral is "bacterial LSU rRNA". It matches the Rfam family "Bacterial large subunit ribosomal RNA", at positions 1264 to 1697 of the family's 2925-position model. Lineage: Bacteria; Bacillati; Bacillota; Bacilli; Lactobacillales; Lactobacillaceae. The record is from RNAcentral.